Molecule: ribosomal RNA, 775 nt
Filed under: uncultured Neocallimastigales
Lineage: Eukaryota; Fungi; Neocallimastigomycota; Neocallimastigomycetes; Neocallimastigales
Description: partial large subunit ribosomal RNA
Rfam family: Eukaryotic large subunit ribosomal RNA
Source: RNAcentral
UAGAUGCGAGAGUAGAGCAUAUCAAUAAGCGGAGGAAAAGAAACUAACUAGGAUUCCCUCAGUAACGGCGAGUGAAGCGGGAAGAGCUCAAAUUUGAAAUCUUCAAGGUUCUACCUUGACGAAUUGUAGUUUAAAGAAGUGUUUUCUGUAGUGGAGUUUGGUAAAAGUUCUUUGGAAUAGGACAUCAUAGAGGGUGAGAAUCCCGUAUUUGGUCAUUCUUUCUAGCUUUGUGAUACACUUUCAACGAGUCGGAUUGUUUGGGAAUGCAGUCCAAAAUGGGUGGUAAAUUUCAUCUAAAGCUAAAUAUUGGCGAGAGACCGAUAGCGAACAAGUACCGUGAGGGAAAGAUGAAAAGAACUUUGAAAAGAGAGUUAAACAGUACGUGAAAUUGUCAAAAGGGAAGCGUUUGACACCAGUGUUGUUUUUCCGAAAAUCAAUUACGAAUGUUUUGUUUUUGAGGAGUUAUGACUUCAUCGGCUUGCUCCUUUCUUUAUGAAACUUUCUUAAUGCACUUUUCGGUUAACAAGUCAACAUCAAUUUCUUUUGUUGUAAAAGGGUAUGAGGAAGGUGGCUUUCUUUUCGGAGAAAGUGUUUAUAGCCUUGUGCCUCUGCAAUCGGAGAGAUUGAGGUCUGCAGCGUAGAUCCUUCGGGGUUAGAUGCGUUUGUGCUAAGUUAUAGCUUUUCAUAGACAACUUGUUGACUAUGUUUAGUCUUGUAGCUUACUCGCUUAUGCUAUUUUACCUACGCUUAGGAUGUUGACGAGACUGUCGAUCUC